RNAcentral lists this long non-coding RNA (1046 nucleotides) under Equus caballus (horse). RNAcentral describes it as "lncRNA (ENSECAG00000047931.1)". Lineage: Eukaryota; Metazoa; Chordata; Mammalia; Perissodactyla; Equidae. The record is from RNAcentral.
CAUUGAACCUGAUAUACUAACUAGAUCAUACAUGCAAAGUGCUCAGUACAGUGUCUGAAGGAUAAAAAGGACUCAUAAAUAGUAGCUGUUAUUUCUAUUACUAAUAAUUGCUCAAGCAUUUGCUAAGCCAAUGUUUCUUGACCAUCUACUUCGUGUCAGGAUACCAUGCUAGAUGUUGAUAAAUUGCCAGAAUCUCUGUCUCAAAAGGCUCCUGUGAUCAGGGCAAGAAACCCCUCAGAUAAACAAUUAGACUUCACCCUCAUAAGUGCUCUCUCUAAUAGGACACUGAGUACCAGGUGGGAGCAGGAAGGAGCAGCCUGUGGGCUUGUGCGGACGGGACACUGUGCAGGAGAGACGGGUCAGGAGGAACAUUUAGGGCGCUGCCAGGGCAAAGUGGAAAACUGGUGGGAUUUCUGUUCAGCUGUGGACACACCCUCGACAGGCCAGGAGACCGCUGUGGAAGGAGGAGUCACUGCCACAGCCGCCCAUCAGAUGUAUUCACAGCGACAGGCUGCAGGCUGGACUGGGGCCACAAGCCUGGACAGCAGACAGCGUCACAGCACUAUCACCUCUUCACUUCACAUCUGUAUUCAAACCAGCUCACAGCAACAAUGACCAUCUUGCCACUUCCCUUGGCCCAGAAUGGGGUUUCCACCCUCCGGCCCUCAACCUCAGGAGGCUCAGAGAUGCCUGCAGGUCCUCACCACUUGUUCCUGCUGGGACAUCCAGAAGGGCUGGGUAAUUAUGGACUUUGCACAUUAGCCACCAGAGUCCAAUGCAUACUGACAGAGUCUGAGCGCCAUGCCGUUAUAGUUCUGAAUCUCAAAACACAGUAAGAAAGGAAACUUGGCAACAGUCUUUUUAAUUUGGUACCUUUUUACCCACACUGCGAGGCAUUUGGGAUCAGAGUUCUGAUUCUCUUUAUGAAGCUCUUCUAUAUACAGAAUCACAGACUACCUUUAACUUGGAGCCUGACACUCUAGAGAAUUUUAUUAUUAUUAUUACGCUUCAAUUUUAGACAAAAAGCACAUUUUGAAAGGAAAAAG